GAUGAACGCUGGCGGUGUGCCUAAUACAUGCAAGUCGAGCGCCCUUCACAAUGCGCUUCUCUCCGUCUGAGACGGGACGCGGGAAUUUUUUCCUUGGAAAAAUGAGCCGCUUCCUUCACAGAUGGAUGAACAAAAAUAUUGUUAAUCACAACUUCGUUAAGUUGAGUGGUUUUCAAUGUGAGGAGAGUACUGUGAAGGGAGCGGCGGACGGCUGAGUAACGCGUGGGAACGUGCCCUAAAGUGAGGGGAUAAGCCCGAGAAAUCGGGUCUAAUACCGCAUAUGGUCUUCGGAUUAAAGCUUUUAGCGCUUUGGGAGCGGCCUGCGUACGAUUAGAUAGUUGGUGAGGUAAUGGCUCACCAAGUCGACGAUCGUUAGCUGGUCUGAGAGGAUGAUCAGCCAGACUGGGACUGAGACACGGCCCAGACUCCUACGGAGGGCAGCAGUAAGGAAUCUUCCACAAUGGGGGCAACCCUGAUGGAGCAACACCG
This 489-nucleotide ribosomal RNA is filed under the name uncultured bacterium. RNAcentral describes it as "bacterial SSU rRNA". It matches the Rfam family "Bacterial small subunit ribosomal RNA", at positions 28 to 399 of the family's 1533-position model. The record is from RNAcentral.